UGGGGAAUUUUGGACAAUGGGCGAAAGCCUGAUCCAGCAAUGCCGCGUGCAGGAUGAAGGCCUUCGGGUUGUAAACUGCUUUUGUACGGAACGAAAAAGCUCCUUCUAAUACAGGGGGCCCAUGACGGUACCGUAAGAAUAAGCACCGGCUAACUACGUGCCAGCAGCCGCGGUAAUACGUAGGGUGCAAGCGUUAAUCGGAAUUACUGGGCGUAAAGCGUGCGCAGGCGGUUAUGUAAGACAGAUGUGAAAUCCCCGGGCUCAACCUGGGAACUGCAUUUGUGACUGCAUGGCUAGAGUACGGUAGAGGGGGAUGGAAUUCCGCGUGUAGCAGUGAAAUGCGUAGAUAUGCGGAGGAACACCGAUGGCGAAGGCAAUCCCCUGGACCUGUACUGACGCUCAUGCACGAAAGCGUGGGGAGCAAACA
Molecule: ribosomal RNA, 427 nt
Filed under: Brucella melitensis
Lineage: Bacteria; Pseudomonadati; Pseudomonadota; Alphaproteobacteria; Hyphomicrobiales; Brucellaceae
Also listed under: 1 other name
Description: partial 16S ribosomal RNA
Rfam family: Bacterial small subunit ribosomal RNA
Source: RNAcentral